AACCAUAGAAACCUGCGGAGUACCUGCGGAAGGAUCAUUACAGAGUUCAUGCCCUCACGGGUAGAUCUCCCACCCUUGAAUACUAUACCUUUGUUGCUUUGGCGGGCCGCUUUGGCUACUGGCUCUGGCUAGUAAGUGCCCGCCAAAGAACCCCAAAACUCUGAAUAUUAGUGUCGUCUGAGUACUAUAUAAUAGUUAAAACUUUCAACAAUGGAUCU
Molecule: unclassified non-coding RNA, 218 nt
Filed under: soil metagenome
Description: partial contains 5.8S ribosomal RNA, internal transcribed spacer 2, and large subunit ribosomal RNA
Source: RNAcentral